Long non-coding RNA from Triticum aestivum (bread wheat), 329 nucleotides. RefSeq lists it as uncharacterized. The transcript has 3 exons. Lineage: Eukaryota; Viridiplantae; Streptophyta; Magnoliopsida; Poales; Poaceae. The record is from RefSeq and is a predicted model, not a curated record.
UUCCUUUCACGUCUCCUUUCUCCUCUCCUCAGGUGAUGUCGCCGCCACCAUGGAUGGCACCUAGAGGUCAGAUCCAGAAGGACAUAGAGGAGAAAAUCCCAAAGGGCGACUGAAGGAGAAGCAGGAAGAACAAUCCACAAAGUUUCUCACCACGUGUACUAAAGUUGCACAAGAUCGAUGUCAGCUACAAAAGCUACAUGGGGUAGCAAAUCCAAAUGUCAACAAGGAGAGCAUGCAAUGUCUUACAGGAGCAAAGGUGCCAAAAAUUACACAUGUGGAAUACUAGAAACUGGAAAGUCAAUAUGCAGACAACCAUCAAAACAAUAAGG